This 253-nucleotide ribosomal RNA is filed under the name uncultured bacterium. RNAcentral's name for it is "partial 16S ribosomal RNA". It matches the Rfam family "Bacterial small subunit ribosomal RNA", at positions 524 to 776 of the family's 1533-position model. The record is from RNAcentral.
UACAGAGGGUGCGAGCGUUGUUCGGAAUUAUUGGGCGUAAAGCGCGUGUAGGCGGUAACGUAAGUCGGGUGUGAAAGCCCUCAGCUCAACUGAGGAAGUGCGCCCGAAACUACGGAGCUUGAGUGCUGGAGAGGGUGGCGGAAUUCCCGGUGUAGAGGUGAAAUUCGUAGAUAUCGGGAGGAACACCAGAGGCGAAGGCGGCCACCUGGACAGACACUGACGCUGAGACGCGAAAGCGUGGGUAGCAAACAGG